CUUGUCUGUACCGAGGCGCUGCUACGGUGGUAGAGGCAUCGGCACCGCCUAGGGGCUGAAGACGUUACAGGGAGGGCCUCUUACGUAGUGGUGGCGACGGCAGGGAGGGUGAGAGAACACGGCUUCCUCUCUCGCGCAUCCGCUGCAGGCGCCAGUGUCUCCAUGCAACUCUUCUUUCCGCACGCCCACACCUAAGCAGCCAACGCUUGUCUCUUCGAAGAUGUCCGAUGACCACACCCCCAUCAUAGCUCGCUUGGCGUCCGCACAGGUGGCGGCACAUCAAGAAGACGAUUCGCCUUCCAUCGCAGCUGCUGAUGCGCGCCAGGCUGAACCACGGGACCACUGCAAGAGCCCCACCUGCACUUCCUUUUGUGGCGAGGCCGCAGGCACGCCGCUGCGGCGGCAGUUGGCGCAACCGUGCGCCACUUCCACCUCGCCCCGGGACGUUGUCGCCGAGGACGCAGCGCCGCCUGCAGAGCUACCGACGCUGGUAGCAGGCUCGUCGCCAGCCUCCACCGCUACCUCCACACCCGCCGCCUUCGGUGGAAGCGGCGAUGGCAUCUUGCAGAACGGUGGCGGCGCUGCUAAUGCCAGCUCCGGCGGCAGCACUGGCUCUCUCCUCAGCAAAUCUAAGGCAGCGAAGCGGCACCACAAAAAUGCCAGCACACCCCAUGCAAACCGUUGCAUCGGCGCCACAGGCUCUUCUUCAGAUUGCAGGUCCAUCUCCGAGCGUUGCAAAGCCGCCCGCACCUUGGCUGCGGAGCUCAUGUCUGCACUCAUGGAGCGUCCCCCUGAGGCCACUGAGAUUGCGCAGUACCGCGCAUCGAUGGAGGCUGCAACACUGCUGACAUUGUCCACUUCGCCAGCUGUGGCGGAGUCGCAGCCCACGGGUGGGUCUACUAUGCGACCGAAAAAGCCAGCGCACCAUGACGCCAGCGUCACAUCUCGACUGAUGGGCAAAGGCAGUCCUACGACGUUGACGCACUCCUUCUUGGAGGCCGUUCUGAACGGCCGAGCGAAGACAACGCGCGCGUUGGCCCCUGGCACGCCACUGGUGCACACCGACACGACGUCUGGCACAACAGUCUCUCUCUCGGGAGUAGCGUCGCCCACCGCUAGCCCCGGCAACGGCGCUCGUGCUGACCAGCGCAGCGCGUCCUCCGGCGCCGCCACUGCUUCCAAAGCGACAGAGAGGACUUCAGCGCAGCCAUCUGCCCCUAAGCCGCUGGGGCUGGUGCCGACCGACACGGGCACCAUUCCGCAGCUGCUGAGUCUUCUGCGUGAGAUAGCGCUCUCAUGCGCGUCGCUGGACACCCUCGACAAGGUGGCAGGUGGGUCGGCGUCCUUUUUGAGAGGCACAGACGCUGCGCCUUUCCACACAAAGCCACUGGGCGCCGCCAGCGCGCCGGUCACGGCGGCCGUUGCACGCGGCGCGGGUACUGGUGGGGGCAGCGCCACCUCUGGCGGUCGCUCGGCAGCACCACCCACGGCAAUUGCCACUGCACAUCCUUCACACGACCCCGACAUCACGGAAGAAGAGCGCUGGCAUCGCGUAUGUGCCCACUUCGAAGUGCUGCGCGGGCUUGUCCUGAACGAGCAUGAGCUGACACGUGCGCUGGACGAGGUGCUCGGCGUGGAAUGGCGCGGCGUGUCAACGCCGCCGGACCUGCACGCGUACGAGGAGGGUACUGCCGUGGCGCCGAGUGCGUCGCCGGCGGUGUCGGCGGAUGGGCUGCACAAUCCUCCUGCGGCAACGCUCUUAGGCGCACCAGUCGCUGCGGCUGCACGGUCGAUUGUUCCUGUGACGCCUGCGCCAGCUGAUCACGAGACGCCACCAGCCCCGUCCUUCACCGCUGGCUGUGUGCCUGGCGGGGCCGGCACGCCGAGGACAUCUACCGCUGCCGCUUCUUCUGCCGUUACUCCCAUGCCGAUCACGACCAGCUCACACACCGGCACGAAUGCCACCGGCGUGAUCGGUGUGAAGUCUGCUGCGUCGCCAGGGACGACGCUCAGCUACAGCGCACGCCCCUCCCAAAGCCGCACCCCGCCCAGUGUUCAGAAGCCGCGAAGCGCCUCGUUUUUUUCGGCAGCACCAAUCCCGGUUGCGCACAGCCCUGCCGCCACCGCGAACGAUGCAGCCUCCUCCUCGAUGAAGCAGUUGUCCGAGAGCAGCUCAACGUACUCGCCGUCGCAGCACGUUGCCAUGAUGCUGGAUCGCGGCACGACGCCACCGCCGGCGUCGCGCACACAGGAUGAAGGCGAGGCCGGACUCGCCAACUUUCCUUCGACACCGUUGUCUGAGGCAGCAGCGCCGUAUCAGCCCUCGGCGUCGCUCAUGAACACUAGCCCGCACGGCGGCAACGCGUCCACGUCGAACAGCGCGCCGUUUCACCUGGAAACACGCGAGGAGAUGCUGCGGCGCCGCAGUGCGGCACCGAACGCGUUUUACGCUUCCGUAUCGCACAGAGGCACCACGCAUUUCGUCGGCGGACCUCCCAGCGCGGCAACGACCCCACGCACGUUCAUGUCGUCCUCGCUGGCGCCGGGCAUGCCGCCAUUCUCGCUCAACGGCGGUGCUGGCGGGGCGCGCAGCUUGCCGGUGUCGCCGCUGAUGUCGUACUCCUCGCCGUUCGGCGCCUUGCCAUGCCCUUAUGAUUAUCUGCUUGUGCUGGACUUCGAGGCCACCUGCGAGGAGCACCCGCCGCCCAACUACCUGUACGAGAUCAUCGAGUUCCCGGUGGUGGUCGUCGAUGCACGACUGCAGCGUGUCGUGGCGGAGUUUCACCGAUUUGUGCGCCCGCGAUACAAGAGAGAACUCAGCCCCUUUUGCCAGAAGUUGACCGGGAUGCGGCAGGAGGACGUGGACACAGCAGCGUCGCUUGAGGAGGUCAUCAGGCAGUUUGAGCGCUGGCUCUCCCACACGCUGCCGCCACAUGCCCGCUGUAUGUUCGUGACGGAUGGCCCGAUGGACUUGCGCGAGUUCAUGUACUAUCACAGCGUUUCUCGCCAAGGCAUCCGCUUCCCCUCGCUCUUCUACCAGUUUAUCGACGUGAAGCAGACCUUUGCCUGCUUCUUCCGGUGCUCGCAGGGGAAGAUCAAGGCGAUGCUGGAGGUGCUGCAUCUUCCCUUCGAGGGGCGGCUGCAUAGCGGGCUCGACGACGCGCGCAACAUCGCGUCCAUCGUAAUUGGUCUCCUUCACUACGGAUGCAGUUUCUGUGAGGUGCCACUAAACCGCCUGCCGUUCAAUGGACUGCUGCUGACCGGAGCGAACAGCGUGAGCGGAUCGGCACCCCUCUUGCUACCACCCUCGACGGCGCCCGCCGCGUCCUGCCACACACGAUCGUCCGAGGCGUCACCCACGGCCAUCUCUGCUCCUUACUCCGUGAACGAGGACGACCACUCUCGCUAGGCCUCCCGCUCCCUAGAGCGACUGGAGGGCGAGAAUCGUGCGUGUGUGUGCGCGCCUCUGUGUAUGUGCGGAUGAUGGACGAAUGCAUGAGGCCACUCAUUUUGUUUCGUUGUUUGGUUGCCUGCGGUCUUUCACACUGCUUCUCCCUUCUCACCAGGUCGUUGGUUUCCGUUCAAGAUGACGUGGUUACCGUUGACGUUGGCGUUGGCGUUAAUGCCGCUGAUGGAGCCUCUCGUGCGUGUGUGUGUGUGCCGCACACUCUCUCCUGGUGUUGUGCUUGAACCGUUGUGCUCGCUCUCAUUUUGAUUGCCUUCUGUUCUAUUGCAUAUCUCCUUUGCUCUCCUCCUCCUCCUCCUCUUGCGCGCGCGCGCCUCCACCCACCCACGCACCGUCGGCCCAUCCUCCCUCCCUUCCCCCAACGGGAGCAACGCGUGCCUGUACGCGUGUGCGCCACUGCGUUUUCGCGGGGACAUCUCCGAGUGCGCUUGAAUAGACCUGAAAACAAAGCGAGAAAACAAGACGCAGAGCUCGUAGCGGCACCCGCCCGCGCAGGCGCAUGGCUGAUGUGAGGUUAGGAGAGGGCUCGAUACCGACAGACACCGACACCAUAUCCGGACUGCAACUCUGCUUCCGUAUCUGUGUGGCAUGCAAGCGCCAUACCACGUGUGCGUCCAGUGUGUGCACUCUUCUCGGGUGACACUCGGCUGCACCUGUGGCGCCCUUCCCUUCCCUUCCUCGCCUCUCACCUUCUUGACAACACUUCGUGCAAUGUCGCAGGCUCUUCCUGGGCGUCUGCCAGCGCACAUCUUGUGGUUGGAUGCACACACACACACACUCACACAGACACAUCCAAAGAGGCACCCCGUGCGCCAACCUUCCUCCACCUCUCCCGUUCUCUCUCUGUCUUCUCCUUCGCCUUUUGGCAUUCCUGCGCCGCUUGCGGCUCAUUCUCUCUUAUCCAUCCUCUGUGACGACAUCUCUGCGGUCCGUCAUCGCACCGACAG
This 4413-nucleotide unclassified non-coding RNA is filed under the name Leishmania donovani. RNAcentral's name for it is "gene:LdHU3.29.0790(CDS-product:Exonuclease_putati ve)". The record is from RNAcentral. Lineage: Eukaryota; Euglenozoa; Kinetoplastea; Trypanosomatida; Trypanosomatidae.